This 503-nucleotide ribosomal RNA is filed under the name uncultured bacterium. Its description in RNAcentral is "partial 16S ribosomal RNA". It matches the Rfam family "Bacterial small subunit ribosomal RNA", at positions 30 to 523 of the family's 1533-position model. The record is from RNAcentral.
AUUGAACGCUGGCGGCAGGCUUAACACAUGCAAGUCGAGCGGGGUGAUGGUGCUUGCACUAUCACUUAGCGGCGGACGGGUGAGUAAUGCUUAGGAAUCUGCCUAUUAGUGGGGGACAACAUCUCGAAAGGGAUGCUAAUACCGCAUACGUCCUACGGGAGAAAGCAGGGGAUCACUUGUGACCUUGCGCUAAUAGAUGAGCCUAAGUCGGAUUAGCUAGUUGGUGGGGUAAAGGCCUACCAAGGCGACGAUCUGUAGCGGGUCUGAGAGGAUGAUCCACCACACUGGGACCGAGACACGGCCCAGCGUCCUACGGGAGGCAGCAGUGGGGAAUAUUGGACAAUGGGGGGAACCCUGAUCCAGCCAUGCCGCGUGUGUGAAGAAGGCCUUAUGGUUGUAAAGCACUUUAAGCGCGGAGGAGGCUCUUUUGGUUAAUACCCAAGAUGAGUGGACGUUACUCGCAGAAUAAGCACCGGCUAACUCUGUGCCAGCCGCCGCUGUAA